This 333-nucleotide ribosomal RNA is filed under the name uncultured bacterium. Its description in RNAcentral is "bacterial SSU rRNA". It matches the Rfam family "Bacterial small subunit ribosomal RNA", at positions 471 to 793 of the family's 1533-position model. The record is from RNAcentral.
GACGUUAGCUGCAGAAGAAGCACCGGCUAACUCCGUGCCAGCAGCCGCGGUAAUACGGAGGGUGCGAGCGUUAAUCGGAAUUACGUGGGACGUAAAGCGCAUGCAGGUGGUUUGUUAAGUCAGAUGUAGAAACGGCCCGGGGCUACAACCGUACGGAAUUGCUAUUUAGAAACUGGACAAACUAGAGUACUGUAGAGGGGGUAGAAUUUCAGGUGUAGCGGUGAAAUGCGUAGAGAUCUGAAGGAAUACCGGUGGCGAAGGCGGCCCCCUGGACAGAUACUGACACUCAGAUGCGAAAGCGUGGGGAGCAAACAGGAUUAGAUACCCUGGUAG